Molecule: ribosomal RNA, 253 nt
Filed under: uncultured bacterium
Lineage: Bacteria
Description: partial 16S ribosomal RNA
Rfam family: Bacterial small subunit ribosomal RNA
Source: RNAcentral
UACGGAGGGUGCAAGCGUUAUCCGGAUUCACUGGGUUUAAAGGGUGCGUAGGUGGGUUGGUAAGUCAGUGGUGAAAUCUCCAGGCUUAACUUGGAAACUGCCAUUGAUACUAUCAAUCUUGAAUACCGUGGAGGUCAGCGGAAUAUGUCAUGUAGUGGUGAAAUGCUUAGAUAUGACAUAGAACACCAAUUGCGAAGGCAGCUGGCUACACGAAUAUUGACACUGAUGCACGAAAGCGUGGGGAUCAAACAGG